UACGUAGGGGGCAAGCGUUGUCCGGAUUUAUUGGGCGUAAAGAGCGUGUAGGCGGCUAGGUAGGUCCGUUGUGAAAACUCGAGGCUCAACCUCGAGACGCCGAUGGAAACCAUCUGGCUAGAGUCCGGAAGAGGAGAGUGGAAUUCCUGGUGUAGCGGUGAAAUGCGCAGAUAUCAGGAGGAACACCGGUGGCGAAGGCGGGUCUCUGGGCCGUAACUGACGCUGAGGAGCGAAAGCGUGGGGAGCGAACAGG
RNAcentral lists this ribosomal RNA (253 nucleotides) under uncultured bacterium. RNAcentral's name for it is "partial 16S ribosomal RNA". It matches the Rfam family "Bacterial small subunit ribosomal RNA", at positions 524 to 776 of the family's 1533-position model. The record is from RNAcentral.